UACGAGAGGCCCAAACGUUAUUCGGAAUUACCGGGCUUAAAGAGUUCGUAGGCGGCGCAGAAAGUAGGGUGUGAAAGCCCUCGGCUUAACCGAGGAAUUGCGCUCUAAACUACUGUGCUUGAGGAACCUAGAGGUGAGCAGAACUGAUGGUGGAGCGGUGAAAUGCGUUGAUAUCAUCAGGAAUACCGGAGGCGAAGGCGGCUCACUGGGGGUUUUCUGACGCCGAGGAACGAAAGCCAGGGGAGCGAACGGG
This 253-nucleotide ribosomal RNA is filed under the name uncultured bacterium. Its description in RNAcentral is "partial 16S ribosomal RNA". It matches the Rfam family "Bacterial small subunit ribosomal RNA", at positions 524 to 776 of the family's 1533-position model. The record is from RNAcentral.